UCUCAUAUAUAUUUGUUUUCCAACUAGUGUC
This 31-nucleotide non-coding RNA is filed under the name Mus musculus (house mouse). Lineage: Eukaryota; Metazoa; Chordata; Mammalia; Rodentia; Muridae. The record is from RNAcentral.